CCUACGGGCGGCUGCAGUGAGGAAUAUUGGUCAAUGGUCGGGAGACUGAACCAGCCAAGCCGCGUGAGGGAGGAAGGUACAGAGUAUCGUAAACCUCUUUUGUCAGGGAACAAAGGCGGGGACGUGUCCCCGGAGGAGUGUACCUGAAGACAAAGCAUCGGCUAACGCCGUGCCAGCAGCCGCGGUAAUACGGAGGAUGCGGGCGUUAUCCGGAUUUAUUGGGUUUAAAGGGUGCGCAGGCGGUCGGCUAAGUCAGCGGGAAAAUUGCGGGGCUCAACCCCGUCGAGCCGUUGAAACUGGCAUACUGGAGUGCCGGAGAGGUAAGUGGAAUUCCUAGUGUAGCGGUGAAAUGCGUAGAUAUUAGGAGGAACACCAGUGGCGAAGGCGGCUUACUGGACGGUAACUGACGCUGAGGCUCGAAAGCGUGGGGAGCAAACAGGAUUAGAUACCCCAGUAGUC
Molecule: ribosomal RNA, 459 nt
Filed under: uncultured bacterium
Lineage: Bacteria
Description: partial 16S ribosomal RNA
Rfam family: Bacterial small subunit ribosomal RNA
Source: RNAcentral